CUGGCUCAGAACGAACGCUGGCGGCAUGGAUUAGGCAUGCAAGUCGAACGGGAGCAGCAAUGCUCCAGUGGCGCAAGGGUGAGGAACACGUGAACAACCUGCCUUCGAGUUGGGGAUAGCUUCUGGAAACGGGAGAUAAUACCGAAUAACAUCGCCGGAUCGCAUGAUCUGGUGAUCAAAGCAGCAAUGCGCUUGAAGAGGGGUUCGCGUCCCGUUAGCUAGUUGGUGAGGUAACGGCCCACCAAGGCGAUGAUGGGUAGCUGGUCUGAGAGGACGAUCAGCCACAUUGGGACUGAGAUACUGCCCAGACUCCUACGGGAGGCUGCAGUCGAGAAUUUUGGGCAAUGGACGAAAGUCUGACCCCAAGCAAUGCCGCGUGCGGGAUGAAGGUCUUCGGAUUGUAAACCGCUGUCAAGAGGGACGAAAUUUGACGGUACCUCUGGAGGAAGCCACGGCUAACUACGUGCCAGCCGCUGC
This 477-nucleotide ribosomal RNA is filed under the name uncultured bacterium. RNAcentral's name for it is "bacterial SSU rRNA". It matches the Rfam family "Bacterial small subunit ribosomal RNA", at positions 19 to 518 of the family's 1533-position model. The record is from RNAcentral.